This 69-nucleotide transfer RNA is filed under the name Ephemera orientalis (oriental mayfly). Its description in RNAcentral is "tRNA-Ser". It matches the Rfam family "tRNA". Rfam says of the family: Transfer RNA (tRNA) molecules are approximately 80 nucleotides in length. Their secondary structure includes four short double-helical elements and three loops (D, anti-codon, and T loops). Lineage: Eukaryota; Metazoa; Arthropoda; Insecta; Ephemeroptera; Ephemeridae. The record is from RNAcentral.
GAUUAAUUAAUUAAAGUUUAAUAUGUGUUUUGAAAGCACAAUAAAGAGGUUAAAUUCCUCUAUUAAUCU